UUCACUAAACCCUGUAAGUCCCUCUGGAUAAGAGUGUCUGCUAAAUGACGUAAA
This is a non-coding RNA of Salmo salar (Atlantic salmon), 54 nucleotides long. The record is from Rfam. NCBI's taxonomy places the organism in Eukaryota, Metazoa, Chordata, Actinopteri, Salmoniformes, Salmonidae.